GUGGGGAAUAUUGGACAAUGGGGGGAACCCUGAUCCAGUCAUGCCGCGUGUGUGAAGAAGGCCUUUUGGUUGUAAAGCACUUUAAGCGAGGAGGAGGCUACCGAGAUUAAUACUCUUGGAUAGUGGACGUUACUCGCAGAAUAAGCACCGGCUAACUCUGUGCCAGCAGCCGCGGUAAUACAGAGGGUGCAAGCGUUAAUCGGAUUUACUGGGCGUAAAGCGCGCGUAGGUGGCCAAUUAAGUCAAAUGUGAAAUCCCCGAGCUUAACUUGGGAAUUGCAUUCGAUACUGGUUGGCUAGAGUAUGGGAGAGGAUGGUAGAAUUCCAGGUGUAGCGGUGAAAUGCGUAGAGAUCUGGAGGAAUACCGAUGGCGAAGGCAGCCAUCUGGCCUAAUACUGACACUGAGGUGCGAAAGCAUGGGGAGCAAACAGGAUUAGAAACCCUAGUAGUCC
RNAcentral lists this ribosomal RNA (451 nucleotides) under uncultured bacterium. Its description in RNAcentral is "partial 16S ribosomal RNA". It matches the Rfam family "Bacterial small subunit ribosomal RNA", at positions 354 to 796 of the family's 1533-position model. The record is from RNAcentral.